RNAcentral lists this ribosomal RNA (461 nucleotides) under uncultured bacterium. RNAcentral describes it as "partial 16S ribosomal RNA". It matches the Rfam family "Bacterial small subunit ribosomal RNA", at positions 338 to 795 of the family's 1533-position model. The record is from RNAcentral.
CCUACGGGUGGCAGCAGUGAGGAAUAUUGGUCAAUGGGCGGAAGCCUGAACCAGCCAAGUCGCGUGAGGGAGUAAGGCCCUACGGGUCGUAAACCUCUUUUGCCGGGGAGCAGUGCCCAGCUCGUGAGCUGGGAGGGAGCGUACCCGGAGAAAAAGCAUCGGCUAACUCCGUGCCAGCAGCCGCGGUAAUACGGGGGGUGCAAGCGUUGUCCGGAAUCAUUGGGCGUAAAGAGUUCGUAGGCGGCACGUAAAGUCUGGUGUUAAAGGCAGAGGCUCAACUUCUGUACGGCACUGGAUACUUGCGAGCUAGAAUGCGGUAGAGGUAAAGGGAAUUCCUGGUGUAGCGGUGAAAUGCUGAGAUAUCAGGAGGAACAUCGGUGGCGUAAGCGCUUUACUGGGCCGUAAUUGACGCUGAGGAACGAAAGCCAGGGUAGCAAAUGGGAUUAGAUACCCGUGUAGUC